UACGAAGGGGGCUAGCGUUGCUCGGAAUCACUGGGCGUAAAGCGCACGUAGGCGGUCUUUAAGUCAGGGGUGAAAUCCUGGAGCUCAACUCCAGAACUGCCUUUGAUACUGAGGAUCUCGAGUCCGGGAGAGGUGAGUGGAACUCCGAGUGUAGAGGUGAAAUUCGUAGAUAUUCGGAAGAACACCAGUGGCGAAGGCGGCUCACUGGCCCGGUACUGACGCUGAGGUGCGAAAGCGUGGGGAGCAAACAGG
This 252-nucleotide ribosomal RNA is filed under the name uncultured bacterium. RNAcentral describes it as "partial 16S ribosomal RNA". It matches the Rfam family "Bacterial small subunit ribosomal RNA", at positions 524 to 776 of the family's 1533-position model. The record is from RNAcentral.